UUACCAGGCCUUGACAUGCAGAGAACUUUCCAGAGAUGGAUUGGUGGCCUUCGGGAACUCUGACACAGGUGCUGCAUGGCUGUCGUCAGCUCGUGUCGUGAGAUGUUGGGUUAAGUCCGUAACGAGCGCAACCCUUGUCCUUAGUUACCAGCACGUUAUGGUGGGCACUCUAAGGAGACUGCCGGUGACAAACCGGAGGAAGGUGGGGAUGACGUCAAGUCAUCAUAGCCCUUACGGCCUGGGCUACACACGUGCUACAAUGGUCGGUACAAAGGGUUGCCAAGCCGCGAGGUGGAGCUAAUCCCAUAAAACCGAUCGUAGUCCGGAUCGCAGUCUGCAACUCGACUGCGUGAAGUCGGAAUCGCUAGUAAUCGUGAAUCAGAAUGUCACGGUGAAUACGUUCCCGGGCCUU
RNAcentral lists this ribosomal RNA (412 nucleotides) under uncultured Pseudomonas sp. RNAcentral describes it as "bacterial SSU rRNA". It matches the Rfam family "Bacterial small subunit ribosomal RNA", at positions 971 to 1382 of the family's 1533-position model. The record is from RNAcentral. Lineage: Bacteria; Pseudomonadati; Pseudomonadota; Gammaproteobacteria; Pseudomonadales; Pseudomonadaceae.